UUUCUAUUUCCUUUGUUCAGUUAUGGUCCGAUUCGCGGACUUCGCUUUCUCCGGUUCCUUGAGAUAUCGGAGCCUCUAGAGGGUUCAAAUCGAGCAGUUCUGUUAGGAUCUCCAUUGACGCUCGACUGUUUGAAGCUCGCUAUACAGUUAUUGGCAGCGAUACUGAGUGGGAGAGAGUGAGUAAGGUGAGAAUUAUUUACUCUCCUAUUCAAGAGGAAGUUGCUUGCAGUUGCUGAUAUAUUCUGGUAGGAGGAAGUUCCUUUUACAGACAUGCCUUCUCUUCAGCUCCUGCAUUUAACCGAGCAUGGGCGAAGUCUUAUGGUUUCAAGAAGGAAAACUCUACUGGUUGCCGCUGGUAUCUUAGUGGCUGGGGGAACUGCUGCAUAUGUGCAGUCACGAUUUAGCAGUAAGAAGAUUGAUUCAAUUCAUCAUUACAAUGGGCUUGGAGAUGAUAAAGAAAAAUCAGAGAAGGCAGUUUCGGAUGAUAAUAAUAGAAAGAAAACUAUGCAAAAGAGAGGAGGAAUAAAGUCUCUUCAAGUCUUAGCUUCAAUUCUUCUAUCUAAGAUGGGCAAAAUGGGUGCAAAGGACCUUUUGGCUUUAGUGUCCAUAGUGGUGUUAAGAACUGCUUUGAGCAACAGAUUAGCCAAGGUUCAAGGAUUUCUAUUUCGUGCUGCUUUUCUCCGACGUGUGCCAUUAUUUUUCAGGCUGAUAUCAGAAAACAUUUUGUUAUGUUUCCUUCUGUCAACUAUGCAUUCUACAUCAAAAUACAUUACAGGGACCUUGAGUCUUCGUUUCAGAAAAAUAUUGACUAAACUUAUCCAUGAAGAUUAUUUUGAGAACAUGGCGUACUAUAAAAUAUCACAUGUUGAUGGUCGGAUUACUAAUCCCGAACAAAGAAUUGCUAGUGAUGUACCAAAGUUCUGUUCAGAGUUAAGUGAGCUUGUACAGGAUGAGUUGACAGCAGUUACUGAUGGUCUGCUUUAUACUUGGAGGUUGUGUUCAUAUGCCAGUCCAAAAUAUCUUUUAUGGAUUUUGGCAUAUGUUUUUGGAGCGGGAGCAGCUAUUAGAAAUUUCUCUCCUCCUUUUGGGAAAUUAAUGUCCAGAGAGCAACAAUUGGAAGGGGAUUAUCGGCAGCUUCAUUCACGGUUAAGGACCCAUGCAGAAAGUAUAGCCUUUUAUGGUGGAGAAAGUAUAGAAGAAUAUCACAUUCAGCAAAAGUUUAAGAAUCUUAUAAGGCACAUGAGAAUUGUUCUACACGACCAUUGGUGGUUUGGAAUGAUUCAGGACUUCUUAGUAAAGUAUUGUGGUGCUACUGUUGCUGUGAUAUUGAUUAUUGAACCCUUCUUUGCUGGCCAUCUUCGACCUGACUCGUCAACUUUAGGGCGAGCAGAAAUGUUAAGCAAUCUACGGUAUCACACCAGUGUCAUAAUAUCACUAUUCCAAGCUCUUGGAACUAUUUCUGUAAGUUCAAGGAGGCUUAACCGUCUCAGUGGAUAUGCAGACCGCAUACAUGAAUUAAUGGCCAUAUCAAGAGAGCUUAGUUCUGAUGGCAGAUCUUCUCCAAAAAAAAAUGGAAGUACAAGAUACUUUACUGAAGCUAAUUACAUUGAGUUUUCUGAUGUCAAGGUUGUUACCCCAACAGGUAAUGUGUUGGUGGAGAAUCUGACUCUCAGGGUUGAAUCGGGAUCUAAUCUAUUGAUUACAGGUCCGAACGGCAGUGGAAAGAGCUCACUUUUCCGAGUUCUAGGGGGACUUUGGCCACUAGUUUCUGGCCAUAUUGCGAAGCCUGGGGUUGGGUCUGAUCUCAAUAAGGAGAUCUUCUAUGUACCACAAAGGCCUUAUACAGCUUUUGGAACACUUCGCGACCAGUUAAUUUAUCCUCUCACUGCAGAUCAAGAGGUUGAACCACUCACACAUAGUGGAAUGGUGGAGCUGUUGAAAAAUGUUGACCUUGAGUAUCUAUUAGACCGUUAUCCUCCUGAGAAAGAAAUUAAUUGGGGUGAUGAACUAUCUCUUGGAGAGCAACAAAGGUUGGGGAUGGCCAGAUUAUUUUAUCAUAAGCCUAAAUUUGCAAUUCUUGAUGAGUGCACGAGUGCUGUAACGACUGAUAUGGAAGAGCGCUUUUGUGCCAAAGUUCGAGCUAUGGGUACUUCAUGCAUAACAAUAUCUCAUCGUCCAGCUCUAGUUGCUUUUCAUGAUGUGGUUUUAUCCUUGGAUGGUGAAGGGGGCUGGCGUGUUCACUACAAGAGGGACGAUUCUCCAGAUUUAACACAAGGCAGCAGCAAUGCAUUGAAGUCUUCUGAGACGAACCGCCAAACUGAUGCAAUGGCUGUUCAACAUGCAUUUAUGAAUACUGGGAAGGGUCUGGAAUUUUCAAAUUCAAGAGCACAAUCGUACGUUUCUGAGGUGGUGGCUGCAUCUCCUCACAUGGAUUGUGGAGCACCAUUGUCUGUCAUUCCACAGCUCAAAAGCACUCCAAUGGUAUUGCCCUUGAGAGUAGCUGCUAUGUCUAAAAUACUGGUACCGACUGUAUUUGACAAACAAGGGGCACAACUACUUGCAGUUGCUUUCCUUGUGGUAUCAAGGACCUGGGUUUCAGACCGGAUUGCCUCAUUGAAUGGUACUACUGUAAAGUAUGUUUUGGAGCAGGACAAGGCAUCCUUCAUUAGGUUGAUCGGUAUUAGUGUUCUUCAAAGUGCUGCGUCUUCUUUUAUCGCUCCUUCGUUAAGGCACUUGAAAGCCAGACUGGCCCUUGGAUGGAGAAUUCGUUUGACUCAACAUUUACUGAAGAACUAUUUGAGAAAGAACACAUUUUACAAGGUCUUCCACAUGUCACGCAAAAAUGUCGAUGCAGAUCAAAGAAUAACUCAUGAUUUGGAUAAGUUAACAACUGACUUAUCUGGAUUGGUUACUGGAAUGGUAAAACCGUCUGUUGACAUCAUAUGGUUCACUUGGAGAAUGAAACUGUUAACUGGUCGGAGGGGAGUUGUUAUACUGUAUGCUUAUAUGCUGCUUGGUCUGGGUUUUCUAAGAACUGUAACUCCUGAUUUGGGUGAAUUGACCGGUCGGGAACAAGAACUUGAAGGAACUUUCAGGUUCAUGCAUGAAAGACUUCGCACUCAUGCUGAAUCUGUUGCUUUCUUUGGAGGUGGGGCUCAUGAGAAAGCUAUGGUUGAGUCAAGAUUCAGGGGACUUCUUCAACAUUCAAUGUUACUUCUAAAGAAGAAAUGGCUGUUUGGCAUACUAGAUGAUUUUGUCACAAAGCAGCUCCCACAUAAUGUGACUUGGGGCUUGAGUUUGUUAUAUGCCGUGGAACACAAGGGAGACCGAGCCUUGAGCUCCACUCAAGGUGAGCUGGCACAUGCAUUGAGGUUCUUAGCAUCUGUUGUAUCUCAAAGCUUUUUGGCCUUUGGAGAUAUUCUUGAAUUGCACAGAAAGUUCCUUGAGCUCUCUGGAAGCAUCAACCGAGUUUUUGAGCUUGAAGAGCUUUUGGAUGCUGCUCAAUCUGGGGAUUCAGUCACUAAUGGUCUCUUCUCAUCCGGAAAGAGCAAUCUUUACGCAGAAGAUGCUAUCUCCUUUGCCGAGGUGGAUAUCAUUACACCAGCGCAGAAGAUGUUGGCCAGGCAGUUGACGUGUGACAUAGUGCCUGGGAAAAGCUUACUUGUUACUGGUCCAAAUGGGAGUGGGAAAAGUUCUGUUUUCCGUGUCCUGAGAGGUCUUUGGCCGGUCAUUAGUGGAAGGCUUACCAAACCAUCCCAACGUACUGAAGAGACUGGUUAUGACAUAUUCUAUGUCCCUCAGCGACCAUACACGUGCUUAGGAACCUUGAGAGAUCAAAUUAUUUAUCCUCUCUCUCGCGAAGAAGCAGAACUAGUGGCAUUAAAGUUAUAUGGAAAAGGGCAACAAUAUGCCGACUCUACAAACCUUCUGGAUGCACAUUUAAAAACUGUUCUGGUGAAUGUUCGAUUAAAUUAUCUUUUAGAGAGAGGGGAAGAUGGUUGGGAUGCUAAUCUCAACUGGGAAGACAUGCUCUCUCUGGGAGAGCAACAAAGAUUAGGCAUGGCACGACUAUUCUUUCACAAGCCUAAAUUUGGCAUCCUUGAUGAGUGCACCAACGCCACCAGUGUUGAUGUUGAGGAGCAACUUUAUAGACUUGCUACUGAUAUGGGCAUAACAGUUGUUACGUCCUCACAGCGUCCAGCUUUAAUACCAUUUCAUUCCAUGGAGUUGCGGUUUAUUGAUGGGGAGGGAAACUGGGAGCUUCGUUUAAUUAAGCAGUGAUUAGCUAUGGAAUCGGCAUUGUACUACCCCUCUGUACAUGCUAUUACAACGCUGACUCUUACACAUGAAGCUGUGGACAAGUCAUACUAGAGUCACACAAAUUCAGUGCAAUUGAUUCAUCUUAACAUAAAUCUUCAUUUGCUGAUAUUUCUCUCCAAAUUCAAGUAGAUUGAGAUGGAGAUGCCAUCCUAUCCGUACCCCGAAGCUAGCCAUUUUGACAUGCUACAAGUUGCCGUUAUUUCCAGCAACGCUUAUGGAUGAAAAGGAGAAGUCAAUCCACAUCAGGAGCAUAGAAGUAAUUUGAAAGCUGCGUGUCCGUUGUGGGAGCGUGGGAUUUUGCCAGGAUAAAUCGUGCGCCUCCCCCUUUAUGAGGUCAUGGGUUUAUGUUGAGUUAGAAAUUCGCGUGUCCGCUGUUAGAGCGUGCGACCCUCCUCAACAUCAAAUUAAUUAUGCUCUGGGGGCUGUGGGCUCAUGCCGGAGCCUCGUUGGGCCUAGACCUAGUGGUGCGGGUUGUUCGUGGCUUGAGGUUUACACCUGCUCAACCAUCCAAAGAGCAUGUUGCGUUAGAUAAUUUCUCGGUUAAAAAAAUUGAAGGGAUUCGUCUUUUCAUUGAAGGCGCUAGCAAUAGUAACCAACGUUACGAGGAAGAUCAAUAGUCAUUGUUCAUCCUCCCACAUGGUGUGGGUUGUUUUGGUGGUCGGAUAAUGAGGAAUAUCAAUAGUCAUCGUUCAUCCAACGUGGUGAGAAUAAUGUUCUACAGUUCUGGGGUGAAUGAUGUUGGAAGACAUUAUUGGCAUAUGAAGAGUAAUGCCAAUGUUUGUUGGAUGAUGUUGGAAAGCAUAAUUAUCCUGCUAACGUGUUAAUCACAAUUCUCAUCUCUCCUAAUAAAUCAACAAACUUUUUGGCUAAAC
This is an RNA transcript of Tripterygium wilfordii, 5192 nucleotides long. It is a transcript of the gene named ABC transporter D family member 1-like, with no coding region annotated. The record is from RefSeq and is a predicted model, not a curated record. NCBI's taxonomy places the organism in Eukaryota, Viridiplantae, Streptophyta, Magnoliopsida, Celastrales, Celastraceae. The transcript is spliced from 27 exons.